This 253-nucleotide ribosomal RNA is filed under the name uncultured bacterium. RNAcentral's name for it is "partial 16S ribosomal RNA". It matches the Rfam family "Bacterial small subunit ribosomal RNA", at positions 524 to 776 of the family's 1533-position model. The record is from RNAcentral.
GACGAACCGUACGAACGUUAUUCGGAAUCAUUGGGCUUAAAGGGUGCGUAGGCUGCGCGGAAAGUUGGGUGUGAAAUCCCUCGGCUCAACCGAGGAAUUGCGCCCAAAACUACCGUGCUUGAGGGAGACAGAGGUGAGCGGAACUUAGGGUGGAGCGGUGAAAUGCGUUGAUAUCCUAAGGAACACCAGUGGCGAAAGCGGCUCACUGGGUCUCUUCUGACGCUGAGGCACGAAAGCUAGGGGAGCAAACGGG